Molecule: ribosomal RNA, 160 nt
Filed under: Tholurna dissimilis
Lineage: Eukaryota; Fungi; Ascomycota; Lecanoromycetes; Caliciales; Caliciaceae
Description: 5.8S ribosomal RNA
Rfam family: 5.8S ribosomal RNA
About the family: 5.8S ribosomal RNA (5.8S rRNA) is a component of the large subunit of the eukaryotic ribosome. It is transcribed by RNA polymerase I as part of the 45S precursor that also contains 18S and 28S rRNA.
Source: RNAcentral
AAAACUUUCAACAACGGAUCUCUUGGUUCUGGCAUCGAUGAAGAACGCAGCGAAAUGCGAUAAGUAAUGUGAAUUGCAGAAUUCAGUGAAUCAUCGAAUCUUUGAACGCACAUUGCGCCCUCUGGUAUCCCGGGGGGCAUGCCUGUUCGAGCGUCAUCAA